RNAcentral lists this ribosomal RNA (701 nucleotides) under uncultured bacterium. RNAcentral describes it as "bacterial SSU rRNA". It matches the Rfam family "Bacterial small subunit ribosomal RNA", at positions 102 to 788 of the family's 1533-position model. The record is from RNAcentral.
ACUGGUGAGUAACACGUGGAUAACGUACCCCGAUGCCCGGGACAGCCUGUAGAAAUAGAGGGUAAUACCGGAUAGGUCACCGUUUAUGUUAGGUAGACGGCGGGAAAGGAGCUUCGGCUCCGCGCUGGGAUCGGUCUGCGGCCCAUCAAGCUCGUUGGUGAGGUAAGAGCUCACCAAGGCGAGGACGGGUAUCCGGCCUGAGAGGGCGGACGGACACAUUGGGACUGAGAUACGGCCCAGACUCCUACGGGAGGCAGCAGGUAAGAAUAUUCCGCAAUGGGGGGAACCCUGACGGAGCGACGCCGCGUGAACGAAGAAGGCCGGAAGGUUGUAAAGUUCUUUUCUGUUCGAGGAAUAAGUGUCGGAGGAAAUGCCGACAUGGUGACGGUAGGGCAGGAAUAAGCACCGGCUAAUUACGUGCCAGCAGCCGCGGUAACACGUAAGGUGCGAGCGUUGUUCGGAAUUAUUGGGCGUAAAGGGCAUGCAGGCGGGACGCCAAGCUUGAUGAGAAAUACCGGGGCUCAACUCCGGAGCUAUAUUGAGAACUGGCGAGCUAGAGUUGCCGAAGGGUAUCCGGAAUUCCGCGUGAAGGGGUGAAAUCUGUAGAUAUGCGGAAGAACACCGAUGGCGAAGGCAGGAUACCGGCGGACGACUGACGCUGAGGUGCGAAGGUGCGGGGAGCAAACAGGAUUAGAUACCCU